Callithrix jacchus (white-tufted-ear marmoset) is the source of this 300-nucleotide unclassified non-coding RNA. It matches the Rfam family "Metazoan signal recognition particle RNA". From Rfam's summary of the family: The signal recognition particle (SRP) is a universally conserved ribonucleoprotein. It is involved in the co-translational targeting of proteins to membranes. The record is from Ensembl. NCBI's taxonomy places the organism in Eukaryota, Metazoa, Chordata, Mammalia, Primates, Cebidae.
GCCAGGCAUGGUGAUGUGUGCCUGUAGUCCCAGCUACUCGGGAGGCUGAGGCUGGAGGAUCGCUUGAGUCCAAAAGUUCUGGGCUGUAGUGUGCUAUGCCAAUUGGGUGUCCACACUAAGUUUGGCAUCAAUAUGGUGACCUCCCGGGAGCGGGGGACCACCAGGUUGCCUAAGGAGGGGUGAACCAGCCCAGGUCAGAAACAGAGUAGGUCAAAACUCCCAUGCUGAUCAGUAGUGGGAUCGUGCCUGUGAAUAGCCACUGCACUCCAGCCUGGGCAAUACAGCAAGACCCAGUCUCAA